UCCAUUCCCCCUUUCUCCCUGCCCCCUUUUCUCUCUUCUUUCCCACUCCACGACUCCUCUUAGUACUGGGGAAUCAAGCCCAGAGCUUUGUUCGCACUUUAGGGCUAUCCCUAGCCUGGAAACAUUCAGAUAAGCCAAUCAUGACCCUCAGACAAGCUUACAACACAUGUCUGUGAAGUGUCUAGAUUUUUGUUGUUGUUGUUGUUGUUUGUUUGUUUGUUUGUUUUUUCUUCACGAUGAGAGGUCUGUGGUCCAGAGAAGAAAGGCAGCUUGUAGAGGGAUGGGACAGUCGCAGCUGCAGACAGGAUCUGGGGCAGAGCUGAGUGUGGACAACAGGCUCAGCCCAGAGUUUUGCCUUAGGGCAAGCUGUGUUCUCCUAAGCCAUUGUCCUGUGAAGCAGCUCGGCUUCAGUGGGUUAUGGGUCAGGUGAGGAGGUUCCCUAUGAAGCACACAGGACAGGCAAAGUUUAAUUUCUCCCUUCAUCGACUCGGCAUGGCCCUGUGGUUUACCUUGCUCAAUAGAUCUCCAACGCACCUGACAGCAGCACGUGCUCAAUAAUUGCUCAGCUUGGGGCUUUUAGGAGUGAGCUCUGCUGGUGUGUGCAGGAUGGAAGGCUUCUUAGCUGAGAAGCAAGUCCCAGCCGCAGCUGCCCCGAGGCCUCUGACGUGUCACGACUCCAUCUUGCACCUCCAUCCCAGCCAGCUGAAUGCAGUCACAAGGAGCCCAGAAAAGAUCAGAAAGAAACCGCUUAUCAAAACCCAAUAAAGUCAACUCUAUUCUCCGA
This is a non-coding RNA of Rattus norvegicus (Norway rat), 784 nucleotides long. NCBI's taxonomy places the organism in Eukaryota, Metazoa, Chordata, Mammalia, Rodentia, Muridae. The record is from RefSeq and is a predicted model, not a curated record.